GAUGAACGCUGGCGGCGUGCCUAAUACAUGCAAGUCGAGCGAAUGGAUUAAGAGCUUGCUCUUAUGAAGUUAGCGGCGGACGGGUGAGUAACACGUGGGUAACCUGCCCAUAAGACUGGGAUAACUCCGGGAAACCGGGGCUAAUACCGGAUAACAUUUUGAACCGCAUGGUUCGAAAUUGAAAGGCGGCUUCGGCUGUCACUUAUGGAUGGACCCGCGUCGCAUUAGCUAGUUGUUGAGGUAACGGCUCACCAAGGCAACGAUGCGUAGCCGACCUGAGAGGGUGAUCGGCCACACUGGGACUGGGACACGGCCCAGACUCCUACGGGAGGCAGCAGUAGGGAAUCUUCCGCAAUGGACGAAAGUCUGACGGAGCAACGCCGCGUGAGUGAUGAAGGCUUUCGGGUCGUAAAACUCUGUUGUUAGGGAAGAACAAGUGCUAGUUGAAUAAGCUGGCACCUUGACGGUACCUAACCAGAAAGCCACGGCUAACUACGUGCCAGCAGCCGCAGUAA
RNAcentral lists this ribosomal RNA (515 nucleotides) under uncultured bacterium. RNAcentral describes it as "partial 16S ribosomal RNA". It matches the Rfam family "Bacterial small subunit ribosomal RNA", at positions 28 to 523 of the family's 1533-position model. The record is from RNAcentral.